GUAACAUUACUUUCUUAUUGCAUGUGGAAGUUCUUCACUCAAUUCACUGUUUACUUUGGAAGUACCCUGUUUGGAAACUGGACUGCUGAACACCAGGAUUACUACAAGCAUUCAAGAUGAGAAAUGUUAGAAUUGUAUAAAGUCAUGCUAUUUGAAUUAAUUCUUCUAAUAUUUGUGGGAAUACUUAGUGUUGGCAAUAGUAAAACCCUAAAAUGAAAAUUUAUGAGGCCACCUAAGGCCAGCUGUGCUUUCAUAUUUAUUGGAAAGUUCUUUCUCCUCCUUGGUUAAGCAGCACAGAUCAAAUGGCAGUUUCAUAUUUGGCCAUUUCUUGUGCCCUGGGGCCAUAGGUGCCUGUUGCACUUCACGCUGAUAAGCAAAAUAAGGGCUGUAACAAGUAAUAAAAAACUCUGUAAACUCAUUGACUGUAACUCUGAAUACCUGCUUCCCAAUGAGAAGGGGAGCACUUUCAAUUUUUUUAUAGUCACAGCUAGCCAAAAAUGCAAUUAUUUUUACAAUACCUUCUGACCAAAGCAGCCUAUAAGAGAAUGAAGAAUCCAAGGAGAAUGCCUUCACGUUUCUGUGAUUUUCAUCAUGUUUCAGUGCUUCUGAAGAGCUCGGCGUUACAAAAGUGACACCAUUGAGGUGCUGUGAGAAGACAUAAAGAUAAGCCAAUGUUUCCAUGGGAUCUCCUGUAAGUUGCAGGACACAACUUGCGAAGCAGCUCUUGCACGCAGACCCCUGGGCAGCAUCUGUGUAGGUCUCCUGGAGAAACGAAGCAGUGCAGUGAAAGGACUUCUGAUGUUAGAGGCAGUGAGUAAGACCAGAAGUGGCUGGUGAAGGAUUCCCUCUCCGGAUUAUCAAAAAGCUGUUAGUUGCCCUUCCAAGAAAGCCCUCCAAGCAGAUAUGAGGAUGACAGCUUUUUGAUGUCAGUCUCAUCUCACAUAAGGAUACGACCUCACUGUGACUGAUGCAAGUUGUCAGGUCCAACAUUUUGUACAAUCAAAAUGCAAGUGAUUGUAAAAUUAACUUAGAACAAGCCAAACAAAGUCAGCACAGAGCAGGCGAGUGUGCCAGAAGCUGUCCGUGAUGCAAUUACUGGCAUUUUUCAGACUGCUUGUUUGCAUUUCUGCUUCUGAGUGGGACAGUCAGAUCAUUUAUGGAUGUAGUCUCUAAAAUCUGCACUCAGGAAACAGUUGUGUCUUUAUCGCAGUCCUUGUGAUUCUUCUCAAGUUAUCAAAAGGAGAAAGUAAAGCCAACCUAGGAGAUAAAUGAAUAGGUGAAAGCAUUUUACAUGAGCUCUUGAAAACUUGUAUCACCCAUUAAAGAGUCAAUAUAUUGCCUGAGCAAAAUAUCAAGUGUUCGUUCAUUAUCUCUUAACUCAUGUCAUUAGAGAAUGAGCAAGAUCGGCUUAUACAAAACAGGCCAUUCACCCUACUUCAUGUAGCCAUGACAAUACAGAGUUUCUGUGAAGUACAAUUUAUCAGACUAGUUGUGCUGAGUCACGUGCAGCCUUGCAUUUUCACAGCAGUGUGAAAAGCUGAGGAGAACUUCUUGCACCACGUCUUUAAGCUUUGUAAUUUUGCAGGCUUCUCAACUGUGUGCUCAGGAUUUCUAAGUUCACUGUUCAUAAAAUGAAAAUAUACAGACUGAAUUAGAACAGAGCUUAUACCAUUUUCCUGCUAAAAGAGGCUAACAAACUAAACAUAAGACCACAAUGAUGAUUGUACUGAAUAUGAUUUCUUGUUUAGUUGCUGUUCUGGUUACUGAGUCAUCUGGAAAAAAAAUGUAAUAGUUACAUUGUUUUUCUUGGGUUUGGAGUGGAAGGAAUUUGAAAAAUUCUGUUUUUCAAACAUUUUUCUGUAUUUUAAUUUUAUUCUUAUUUUUCAUGAGAAAUUAAAAUUACCAGAAAAAAAACAUGCAGAGUUGUAAUAACAAAAUCAGUUUCUCAGUAGAGCGCAUGACCAGAGCCUCCAUUUUUUUUUGUUUUUGAAAUGUAUUUCUAGUCCUAAUCCUCAUAUAGUAAAUAUUUACAUGGGAAUUAUAUAGCUUGUUAAUCAAAAUUAACAUAAAUAUCAGAGAUGGUGUUGUGGGGAAAAGAGAAAAAGCUUCUACGGAUAUCCUAAAUCCUUGAUGAUGCUUUUGUUUUCCUCCUGUUGAUUUAUUCUGUAUUGAGAAAGGAUCUGUAGUAGAAAAAGAAUGCUUGAUAAAAAAAGUAGAGUUUAAAUUCCCAGACUUACACGUGUUUAAAUUGUCAUUCUCAACCUUUUAUUUUGUGGAAUUAUGUCAAAUCAGUGAAAUAUGUGAUUAGCUUUGGAA
This is an RNA transcript of Phasianus colchicus (ring-necked pheasant), 2316 nucleotides long. It is a transcript of the gene named melanopsin-like, with no coding region annotated. NCBI's taxonomy places the organism in Eukaryota, Metazoa, Chordata, Aves, Galliformes, Phasianidae. The record is from RefSeq and is a predicted model, not a curated record.